AGGAUUCCCUACUUAAUAAAUGGUGCUGGGAAAACUGGCUAGCCAUAUGUAGAAAGCUGAAACUGGAUCCCUUCCUUACACCUUAUACAAAAAUUAAUUCAAGAUGGAUUAAAGACUUAAACAUUAGACCUAAAACCAUAAAAACCCUAGAAGAAAACCUAGGCAAUACCAUUCAGGACAUAGGCAUGGGCAAGGACUUCAUGUCUAAAACACCAAAAGCAAUGGCAACAAAAGCCAAAAUUGACAAAUGGGAUCU
Molecule: long non-coding RNA, 256 nt
Filed under: Homo sapiens (human)
Lineage: Eukaryota; Metazoa; Chordata; Mammalia; Primates; Hominidae
Description: lncAB583.1
Source: RNAcentral